CCUGGUAUCGUCUAGUGGUUAGGACACCAGGUUUUGAUUGCGCCUGAUGUCCUGGUAACCUGGGUUCGACUCCCAGUACCAGGU
Molecule: transfer RNA, 84 nt
Filed under: Melampsora larici-populina 98AG31
Lineage: Eukaryota; Fungi; Basidiomycota; Pucciniomycetes; Pucciniales; Melampsoraceae
Description: tRNA-Gln for anticodon UUG
Rfam family: tRNA
About the family: Transfer RNA (tRNA) molecules are approximately 80 nucleotides in length. Their secondary structure includes four short double-helical elements and three loops (D, anti-codon, and T loops).
Source: Rfam by way of RNAcentral